AUGAUAAAAAUUAGUGGCAGACGGGUGAGUAAUGCAUAGGAAUCUACCUAGUAGUAUGGGAUAGCCACUAGAAAUGGUGGGUAAUACUGUAUAAUCCCUGCGGGGGAAAGAUUUAUCGCUAUUAGAUGAGCCUAUGUUAGAUUAGCUAGUUGGUAGGGUAAAGGCCUACCAAGGCAGUGAUCUAUAGCUGGUCUGAGAGGAUGAUCAGCCACACUGGAACUGAGAUACGGUCCAGACUCCUACGGGAGGCAGCAGUGGGGAAUAUUGGACAAUGGGCGCAAGCCUGAUCCAGCUAUGCCGCGUGAGUGAGGAAGGCCUUAGGGUUGUAAAACUCUUUCAGUGGGGAAGAUAAUGACGGUACCCACAGAAGAAGUCCCGGCAAACUCCGUGCCAGCAGCCGCGGUAAUACGGAGGGGGCAAGCGUUGUUCGGAAUUAUUGGGCGUAAAGGGCAUGUAGGCGGUUCGGUAAGUUAAAGGUGAAAUGCCAGGGCUUAAC
RNAcentral lists this ribosomal RNA (496 nucleotides) under Anaplasma platys. Its description in RNAcentral is "bacterial SSU rRNA". It matches the Rfam family "Bacterial small subunit ribosomal RNA", at positions 82 to 613 of the family's 1533-position model. The record is from RNAcentral. Lineage: Bacteria; Pseudomonadati; Pseudomonadota; Alphaproteobacteria; Rickettsiales; Anaplasmataceae.